GGAAGAAGGAAAGGCUCAUGCUGAGUUUCCUGCGUCCAUCGUGAUAAUUGGCGGACUGCCUCUCUCUCUCUCUCUCUCUCUCUCUCUCUCUCUCUCUCUCUUGUACGCACACUGGCUGACUAUACAAACAGGCGCUGUGAUGGAGCGGCAGAGGACGCAAGAGAGUUGGCCAGUGUUAAAGAUCUUAAGCCAGAUAAACGUUAUGACAUUAUGGGCAAAAUGCGAUCAGCAUGACUUCGAGCUGAUAGCGACUGAAUGAGAGUUUCACAUGAACUCGGCAGUGGAAGAAUUAAAAACACCAGUAAACAGUGCUGGAAUCAGGGUGUAAAGGAAAACGCCACGUGGAUUACACAGCAUUUAUCCCACAUCCAUAAAGCUGUCAGUUCCUCAGAGCAGGAUGAGUCUGCACUGACAUGAGGAAGGUAACUGUACUGUAUGAAUUGGGAGCCAGAGCUGAUGAGACAGCAUGUGCAGUCAUGUUAUUACACAAUUAUUUGUUUUAUUUCCUUUUGCACAUACUGUUUUUACAGCAUCAAACAGAGUGAUUACACCGCUUGCUACCCAAGACAGAACCUGUCAAACAAACAAAUGAAAGACAGCUUAUUUCCUAACACAUUAACUGUGAUUGAUUUAUCAGUGACACACCGCAGGUAGCAUUGAUUUUUCUGAGGACUCAUAAAACACAUAAAUUACAGUCAUAACCGCAGGGUGGCAUCAAACUGUUACUGCUCUGGAAUGGCACUAGUCUCCUGUCUGUGACAAGACUAAUGAUUCAUAAUGUGCUUAGCUGCUGUAGAGUGUACUUUUAUUUGAGAAUGAGUCAAUAACCCCAGUGGCUAAAUGAAUAUUGAUUGAAUAUAAUGAAGCUUGAAUAAUGGCUGAACACACAGUGCUCAAGAACAGUCUUUCUUUUCUCUCAGAGCAUCCCUGUGCAGCUCUGGGACAUGGCCUCUAGUACUGAGAUGAAAUGUUGCAGUCUGUAAUAACAACAUUAGAAACAUCACUGAAGUUACUCAUGUAAAGUUGUUAUAAGACACAUUAGAUUUACAGCCUUUUACUGUUUAACAUUUGUAGUUGUAUACAGUUAGUGAAAUGAUAGGCAUGCAUGUACAUUCACAUACAUUUGCACGGUAGCUCAUGUUAGGAUACGUAGCUUUAGUCAUGAAUUUACUGUGAUUUAUAUAAAAUCCAAUAAAUACUGAAGCAAUACAGGUUACUGAACAAGAUUAUAGUUAUAAACCUAAUAAGUCAAUUAACAACCAAUUCUCCAGAAUAUUUGUUACUUCAGUUUAAGAAUUUAAAGAGAAAAUGAAAUGAAUAAAGAUCAAUGAGUUUAGUUCAAUAAAAGCAACAGGUUUGUGCUGGGUUUUUUUUCUGUGUUCUAAUAUUCUGUAUUUUAACUAAGAAUUAACUGCAGGCAAAGAUUAGAGAUUAGCAAAGAUUUGCACUAACCAGUUUAAUUCCUGUAUGUUUAUAUUUACUCAACACUCCUAAAUCCUGUUUGGUAUUUCCUGUCCAGAGACCCUCUCUGCCGUGUCCUUUUAAAGGUAGUGCUAACAGAAUAACUGCGCUUAAAGCGUAGUUUUCCUGUGGUUUGUUUUGACCUCAGUCGGAUCUUUUGGGUUUGCACUCCUUAGUAUAGACCGAAGUGUUGUAGGUAUCAAAUGUCCUUAGAGCAAAACAAACUCUAAAAAGCGGCCUCCCUAUUCAGCAUGGAUUAGCUAAAGUGUCUGAAGCAGCUGUGGAGUGAAAAUCGGAAGGUUUCUAAACCUCACAGCCUAAAAGCAAAGUAUCUGCACUUUUGAAUAUUCUAUAGCAGAUACACCAUAGUGUUAUUAAAACAUGCUUUCAUAAAAAUCCAGUGCUGAUCAAAGCAUCUGUUAAGAAGUGAGUUUUCUACCACUAUAUAAACAAGAUGUCUGUUUUAAACUUCAGUUAUUAAAAAAAUUCGGAUGCUUUACUAAUGAUCCGUUUAUUUCAUGGACUUUUCGUGCGUAUUUGGUUAAACAACUCCUUUGAAAAUAAUAUUCAUAAAGAUUAAACACUCUCAUUUAUUCAAACACCAAUUAGCCACAGCCUAAAUAGGGAUAAAUGAUCAGUGGCCACAUGCGGACAGCAUUCCUAAUUAAUUACAAGAGUUUGAAUUACACUUACAGUCAUUACAGCCAGGAAAACAAUUCCUCCUGUUACAAGUCCUUGUGUAACCAAUACCCCUUGGGCAUGGAUGUUUGGAGUGGGUUGAAUGGACGAACGUUUUUCAGAGACAUUCUUUUCUAAUGAAAGAGAUGACAUAUCAGUGGAAAUGGAGGAGAGAACAGCUGUGACAUGAACAAAGCACUGUGGGACAUUUUAAUGUGACGUCUCAUUGGUGGGAGCCGAACGAGCCACAGAACUCAUGUGAUUGCAUUCCAGUUUCCAGUUUUCCCUGACUCCCAAGAGGAGUUGAUUUGGUUUAGUCUUUAGUGAGAUUUCUAAUUUUGUGAAGGCCUUGUUGGUCUGUGGAGAAGAUUUGGAACUGAUCUAUUGAUUGGUUGAGUGAGUAAAUAAAUGACUGAAGGAAUGAUUGAACGAGUGAUUAAGUCUAUGUGAUGAUCUCAUUCUUUUCUCCUCCGGCUGGCAGUAGAUAGAUCACAGAUCUGUUUUUUUCUAUACACAUCGGUUUUAAAGGGCCUCGUGACUACAGCACUAUCAAAAAUAUCCACUGUUGCUGCUGUGGCCUUAAUGAACAUGGCCAGGACUAUAAAUGGCACGAGCCCCUGUGGGAUUCUGUUGCCCAAAUGAAGUGCAGCGGAGGUUGAGCCGGGACUGAAGUGUGACAGAUGAACUGUGGUUAAUGGCCACUUACAGAGAGGUCUCAUCUCCACUGGGCCAUGCAUGCACAUCAGCAGGUGACUAAAGCAGCAGCUCUACUUGUCAAACUGUCCCAUUACUGCCUAAUGAAGAGUAAUCAUGCUGCUGUUGAGUGAAAUGUUAUUCUUGGCUAAAAGGUAUUUGUGCUUGUCAGCCAGUUUUAGGUUAGGGUGGAGUAAGGGGAGGUUAUACAUUUAUGAUUAUAUCAGGUGGAGGAUGUGUUCACAUAAAUAUCUCUGAAACUUAACUUGACGUAAAAGCUUAUUAUAAUAUUUUUGUAGGGCAGAUUUGCCAGAGAUGAACAAAUGAAAAACACAUUGUUCUUUUUGAACACAGAUGUAGUUAGGUUUAAUGGUGUAGAAUGUCACAAGAUAAUCUGUUAGCACUUACAUUAGAGCAGUUCCUUCACCAGCCUCUUCUUUUUCUAUCCUGAAGAUAAAAAGACAAAAACAAAGCUUGUUAUGUGUUCCAGAAAGUUCUCCAUCCAUAUAUAUCUCCAUAUUUAUACAUUUUCAUUACCAUAUAAGAGCGCAUUGUAAUAUGUUUAUUGUUAGUGUAGGACUAUGUGGAGUGUCUACCAACCAGGUCCCUGUGAAAAAGCUGUUAUUUUAGAAAUCAUCAGCUUUUACAGCAAGCAUGUCCAAGAACCAUAAAUAUAGUUAAAUAUAUCUUUAGGCAUACUAACACAUAGUUUGUUUGUGAAAAUGCCAAUGACGCUAUUUGUUACCUCCACUGGCAGGAGUCAUGGUGUCUAAUCCAUCACUCCUUAUCAGUCUCUUCUGAGACCUGUGAUCAGCAGGAAUGCUCAGGUGAUUUAACCCCUGCAGCUCAGACAGAGCCCUCAGAGAUACAUGCACUAGUUCAACUCCCUACGCCAACACAAACACUAGACUGUCCAGACAAGUCUGUCCACACAAACCAGACAGAUCAGCAUGAAAGCAAACAAGUCCUUGGACAUGUAGGAGAGGAUCUAGGAACAGGACUGAACAAGGACACAGUGGACAGAGCCAAGAGACACUAGACCUGGAUCCUGCAGAGUGUGAUGAGGAAAACCCAAAAGUGACAGAGACGUCAGAGAGCAUCGAACACAAGGUGAGCCUGCCAUCAGUGUGCUGCGAGCAGGACAGAGCUGUCCCAGCGGUGAAGGUCACAACACUAGAAGUGAAGUAAGACUAUGCUGUAUUCUACUCAUGGACUGUGGAUGCCAUUUAUUCAUCUUAUGCUUCUUAAUGGAAAAUGUGAUUAUAUCUAGUGCAUGCAUUUUUAUUUCUUAUUACAGCACAGCAUUGUAGAAGUCUUGAUUGUGAUUGGUCUGAAGUUGUUCAUUUUUUUUAUAGCAGUAGACAGAUAAUGGUGCUGGCUCAAAUCUUAUGUGAUAAAUAAAUGUGAUCUAAUAUGUUGAAAUUUCCAUUGUAACAGCUUAAUUCACACGUACAGUACAUGCUGCACAUAAUCCAUGCCUGAUAAUAAACAGAAAAAAAGGUGUUGUUAUUUAAUAAAGAAUAAUGUAUAAUGGUUAAUUUCAAUAAAUCUCAUUAAAAAAUUUCCUCAGUAACAUGACAAAUUAUAAGACUAUUUUUUAAACAUUUGUUUCUUUUAUUAACUUCAAGGAAAGUUAAUAUGUACACUACCAGUCAAAAGUUUGGACACAUCUUCUAAUCCCAUGGUCUUUCCUGAUGUUUAUUUCUUUCUACAUUGUAAAACAAUGCUGAAGGCGGCCGAAAUCCACAGUAAUGUCCUUUGAACAGUUGAUAUUGAGAUAUGUCUGCUACUGAUGCUCUGUAAAGCCUUCAUAACGCCUCUAAUCUGAGGUGCUGUUAAUUGGUGAUUUCUGAGGCUGGUGACUCUAAAUGAACUUCUCCUCUGCAGCAGAGGUCAGUUUUGGUCUUGCUUUACUGGGAUGGUCUUCAUGUGAGCCAGUUUCAUCAUGGUGCUUGAUGGGUUUUGCAAAUGCACUUGACAAUACUGUUCUUGCAAGAACUAUUCCAGAACACCUGACCUUCGUGUCUUAAAACAACAACUGACUGUUUUUUGUUGUCGUUACAUAUGGAUUGCUGAAGUCCAUGUGUGUUAUUUCAUAGUUUUGAAAUCUCCAGUAGAAUGUAGAAAAUAAAUCCCUAAACAAAAAACAUUGAAUUAUAAGGUGUGUCCAAACUUUUGACUGGUAGUGUAUAUAUAUAUAUAUAUAUAGUUGCUAUAACUUGAGUGUUAAAAGGAACUAAUUUGUCACAAAAUUAAGUAUAACCAUAAAUGUUUGCAACAUGUUUAUUAAGAACAAUUGUAAUCAUUGGCACUUUACUCUUUAUAAUGCUAUGCUGCAUUCUACUAUUAUUAAUAAACCUAUACUAUUUUCCUAUCCAUCCUUGAUUACUAUCAUGUGCUACAUUGUUUAAAUAACACGUCAGCAGUUAAAGUUUACUAAUAGGACAUUUUGCAAAUGUGUGCAUAAAUUCUACAAAAAUAUCAGCUCAGUUAAUGUUGUUUUAUGACCUUAUAAUAUCUUAAAAAUAUCACAUACUGUAGGCUAUAUGCUUUUUCUCACAAUCGGUUGUAUAACACUCCAUUCAGACAUGCACAGAAAAUUCUGGUAAAUAAAUCAAUGUAAAUUCCUGCAAUUUGUAUAUGUCUUGUUUAAACACAUCACGCCACCUAACACGUACAUUUGAUUGAUGUCUUUCUUUUUUUCCUCAAAUCAGGACUAUUUGUCUCUGUAACUCUCCAGCAGACUUUCUCUCUUCUGCAUAUUUGCAGUCUUUGUUCUCAGUGU
Molecule: long non-coding RNA, 5617 nt
Organism: Hemibagrus wyckioides
Lineage: Eukaryota; Metazoa; Chordata; Actinopteri; Siluriformes; Bagridae
Exons: 3
Source: RefSeq, a predicted model, not a curated record